This 263-nucleotide unclassified non-coding RNA is filed under the name fungal sp. RNAcentral's name for it is "partial internal transcribed spacer region". The stretch from base 1 to 46 matches the Rfam family "Eukaryotic small subunit ribosomal RNA", at positions 1786 to 1831 of the family's 1831-position model. Lineage: Eukaryota; Fungi. The record is from RNAcentral.
AAGUCGUAACAAGGUUUCCGUAGGUGAACCUGCGGAAGGAUCAUUAGCAAGAUUGUGUUGUGUGUGCGUGUCUUAGACCGCGUUACACAACGCAAGAAAAGCCAUCCUUGUGCUAUGUAGUUGUUGUGUGCAGUGUGUGUGUCUAUAGUGGGCACACACAUGCGUACAUUUUUUACCACUCAUACCAUUUCUCAUCUUAUCAACCGUGCUUGCAAAAGCACACCAACAAUCGAAAACUGCCAGCAAUGGAUCACUCGGUUCUC